UCUAGAACCGAUAACCCCCGUUCAACCUCACCACCUCUUGUUUUACCCGCCUAUAUACCACCGUCGUCAGCUUACCCUGUGAAGGCCCCAUAGUAAGCAAAAUGGGCAAAACCCAA
RNAcentral lists this ribosomal RNA (116 nucleotides) under Oncorhynchus gorbuscha (pink salmon). RNAcentral describes it as "partial 12S ribosomal RNA". The record is from RNAcentral. Lineage: Eukaryota; Metazoa; Chordata; Actinopteri; Salmoniformes; Salmonidae.